Molecule: ribosomal RNA, 508 nt
Filed under: uncultured bacterium
Lineage: Bacteria
Description: bacterial SSU rRNA
Rfam family: Bacterial small subunit ribosomal RNA
Source: RNAcentral
UUAGGAAUUUUGGGCAAUGGGCGAAAGCCUGACCCAGCAACGCCGCGUGGGUGACGAAGGCCUUCGGGUCGUAAAGCCCUUUUCCACGGGAAGAUAAUGACGGUACCGUGGGAAUAAGCCCCGGCUAACUACGUGCCAGCAGCCGCGGUAAUACGUAGGGGGCGAGCGUUGUCCGGAUUUACUGGGGCGUAAAACGCUUGUAGGUGGCCACGCCAAGUCGGACGUGAAAUCUCCCGGCUUAACUGGGAGGGGUCGUUCGAUACUGGCGGGCUCGAGGCAGGUAGGGGGAAGCGGAAUUCCCGGUGUAGUGGUGGAAUGCGUAGAUAUCGGGAGGAACACCAGUGGCGAAGGCGGCUUCCUGGACCUGUUCUGACACUGAGGAUCGAAAGCGUGGGGAGCGAUCCGGAUUAGAUACCCGGGUAGUCCACGCCGUAAACGGUGGGCACUAGGUGUCGGGGGUAUCGACCCUCCGGUGCCGCAGCUAACGCACUAAGUGCCCUGCCUGGGG